Triticum dicoccoides is the source of this 1460-nucleotide long non-coding RNA. RefSeq lists it as uncharacterized. The record is from RefSeq and is a predicted model, not a curated record. Lineage: Eukaryota; Viridiplantae; Streptophyta; Magnoliopsida; Poales; Poaceae. The transcript has 7 exons.
GCUGCCGAUAGUGGGAAGACUCUGCGUUUCAACACACACACACCGGACAGAGAAUCCGGGGCCAGCGAUUAGACAAGUCUGAUUGUGAAGCGACAUCACCUGCUGCUCGGUGUGGAUCAUCACAGAAAUGGAUGUCAAAUAACGAUGACAACACAUAAGUCCACUUCAGCACCAACCAUUAUUCUGAACCAUUUCAAGUCCAGUGUGAUGUCCAUUGGUCAUGUGUAUGCCGAUCUACCAACCAAUCCAAAUGUAACUGUUUUUGGCCAAUGUCAGAGCAACCUACCUAGGUGGAAAUACAUUUUUCAGCAUGGGUUUACAACUAACCCAUGGGUAUCGGAGUAGUUCCACAUCCACCAGAUGCUCCAAUAACCGACCUUAUCAUCACACACUUAAGCAGUAUUUCACACAAUGAUCUUCAAAGGUAUUUUCCCAAUCUUUUUCCAAAACUACUUAUCUGGUACAACAUCAUUCAUGCCUAUCCAAGGCUCAUCAAUGUAUCUGGGUGGCCACGAAUCAGCAGCUUGUUGGCACACUCAACCUUGAUCAUGAGUUAAGGAGAUAUUCUUAGUCUGACAAUGAAGCUAAUAGUGAAUGCCCAUACCUUAAUUGGAGGCACAACAUGGAACCUGACUUUUGUGACAAUUGUGCUGGCAGAUCAUGACUAUAUCAACAACAUUUCGAUACAGAACCAACUUGUCCGCAAGGACAUCCCAUAUGACAUAACCUCCUCACAGAUGGUUUGUUAACAAGUACUUGUGUUAUGUACACAGUUCUUCCGGCAAGUCCCGCUGGAGGACGCAUGGAUCAUUCUUAUGUGGGACAUGAUGUCAAGGAAGCUUCAUGUACUAGACCCGCUAAUUAGAGGCACGAGUUCAUUGCGUGGAAGCUGUACCAUGCUAUGUUUCAUCGCUUAAGCGAGUAUUAUGUUGGGUGGCCUACACAAGAUGGACAGUGGCAGACCUACUACUCGGUUGUAGCCCAGGAAACAUUUGGCAGGGAUGAAACAUGUGCAUGUGCCCUUCACAUAGCACGUCACUACGAUGGUACCAAGCUCAAGACCCCCCUCACGAAGAGGGAGUACCACUCACUGAAAACAUGCUUACAUUAACAGCACAAUGUCGGCAAGACCAAAAGUCAGGCACUACACGAAUGCCUGAAACUAAAAGGAAAUUCUUCAAAAUUGGCGCAUGACGCUCUGUGGGUGGUUCUAACUCCAUCUGAUUCCUGGGUUGGCUCGAACCAGUCGGGUUAGGGCCAGCUAACCGUGCAAGAUUUCAUUUUCCCUUUUCUGAAACAUCAUCCCAUGCCUAAUUAUGUACAUCAUAUUAUGUGCUAUGAAGCCUGACAUCCUGUAAGGAUUUACUGUUUGCUAAAUGGACGCAUUUCGUGGGACAGAUUUACUUGCAUCAUAGUGGACGCAUUUGUAGAAGUGAUGCCCGACCCAUUUUUGAUAGAGG